AUCAGCAGCCAUAUCACCCUGCAACUCACAACUGGCAGCCCACUGGAGCUCAGCAGGUGUGAGCCUGGUCAGCACCUGGAUGGGAGACCUCCUAGGAAAAACUAAGGUUGCUGCUGGAA
Molecule: ribosomal RNA, 119 nt
Filed under: Lepisosteus oculatus (spotted gar)
Lineage: Eukaryota; Metazoa; Chordata; Actinopteri; Semionotiformes; Lepisosteidae
Source: RNAcentral